This 460-nucleotide ribosomal RNA is filed under the name uncultured bacterium. RNAcentral's name for it is "partial 16S ribosomal RNA". It matches the Rfam family "Bacterial small subunit ribosomal RNA", at positions 28 to 507 of the family's 1533-position model. The record is from RNAcentral.
GACGAACGCUGGCGGCGUGCUUAACACAUGCAAGUCGAGCGGUAAGGCCUCUUCUGGGGUCCGCUAGCGGCGCACGGGUGUGUAACACGUGGGUGACCUUCCCUCAGCUCUGGGAUAAGCCUGGGAAACUGGGUCUAAUACCGGCAAUGACCUUUCCUCGCAUGGGGUUGGGUGUAAAGUUUUUUCGGCUGGGGAUGGGCCGGCGUCCUAUCAGCUUGUUGGUGGGGUGAUGGCCUACCAAGGCGACGACGCGUAGCUGGCCUGAGAGGGCGAGCGGCCACAUCGGGACGGAGGCAGGGGCCAGACAUCUACGGGAGGGAGCAGUAGGGAAUAUUGGGCAAGGGGCGGGAGCCAGGAGGAGCGACGCCGCGUGGAGGAUGACGGCCUGCGGGGUGGAAACCUCUGUCGACCCCGACGAAUUUGGACGGUAGCGGUAGAAGAAGCACCGGCCAACUACGUG